Molecule: long non-coding RNA, 378 nt
Organism: Solanum pennellii
Lineage: Eukaryota; Viridiplantae; Streptophyta; Magnoliopsida; Solanales; Solanaceae
Exons: 2
Source: RefSeq, a predicted model, not a curated record
GAGGCAUUGACGAAAGAAAAAGUAUUGGAGAAGUAGCUUGCUUGACUUCGGUUCUUCAAUGGAGCGAGUGUACCUAUGACUUCAGAUUUUCCUCAGCUCUAGCCAACCUCCCGCAAGUCAUGUUCCAGGGUGAGCUAUUCAUUCAUGCUCGUGUUGGAUUCUUUCGGUCAUGACAUGAUGUCCUAUACUUUCGGACACAUACCAUUUUAUUCAUUUAUUUUGGUGCCUUUGAUACUCUUAGACUUAGUAGUUAGAGAUUAGAUGUCCUUGUUGUGAUGACUUUCAGGUUUUGGGAAACGAUAGUUAAUAAAUUUUGGAUCUUCCGCAAUAUUUUGUUAUUCACAGUUGAAUUAUUGGUACAUGUUGGGAUUUGAAUUU